GCGCCCGUAGCUCAGCUGGAUAGAGUGUCGGUUUCCGAAGCCGAAGGUCGUGAGUUCGAAUCUCGCCGGGCGCACCA
RNAcentral lists this transfer RNA (77 nucleotides) under Methylotenera sp. Its description in RNAcentral is "tRNA-Arg". It matches the Rfam family "tRNA". From Rfam's summary of the family: Transfer RNA (tRNA) molecules are approximately 80 nucleotides in length. Their secondary structure includes four short double-helical elements and three loops (D, anti-codon, and T loops). The record is from RNAcentral. Lineage: Bacteria; Pseudomonadati; Pseudomonadota; Betaproteobacteria; Nitrosomonadales; Methylophilaceae.